Long non-coding RNA from Esox lucius (northern pike), 612 nucleotides. RefSeq lists it as uncharacterized. NCBI's taxonomy places the organism in Eukaryota, Metazoa, Chordata, Actinopteri, Esociformes, Esocidae. The record is from RefSeq and is a predicted model, not a curated record. The transcript is spliced from 5 exons.
CCCUUUUCGCGCCCGCGAGGCCUCACUCACUCUCUGCUGCAAUUUUCGUGAGGAGAUUUGGAAAAUUCUGGCUGUCUUCAUAGUUAAAGCUCCAUUUCUCCGGACCAGUGGCAGGUGAACUUGGAACAUGCCAGCAGUACAGGCAGUACAAUGAUGGACAGACAUUCAUUUCUUGCUUUAAAGCAUGCUACCAUUUGCGGUUGUGGAUUUUUUGCAUGGUGGAGGUGUGGCAAUAUUACCCUGCAAGUGGUUUACUGGACCAGAGGAAGAUACAUGUUACUGGCCACCAGGACGACUCAACAUAAGCAAGGCAGUAAAAGAUGAAAUUCUUCCGAACCCUACUUGGCCCCAGUUCAAAGUGCGUGUCCUGGGAAAAGCAGGAACCUAAGCCCACGCCACAGAAAAGCUUUUAAAGGCCGAAGCGACGUCAGAUUCUGGAAGGCGGAUGGGAAAAGGGAAUCGCAAAAGAAAUAUGGAUCAUGGUGGCCAUGGAUCAUGGUGACCAUCGGAAGCUGCUGAUAGUGGAGAGUGGAUAUCAGGACUGAUGAGAUUUAUUAAAAAUAACACAUGCAGCUGGUGUGUGUGUGUGUGUUCACAUGUAUGUAUGUUUGU